This 2050-nucleotide long non-coding RNA is filed under the name Sus scrofa (pig). RNAcentral's name for it is "lncRNA (ENSSSCG00025027871.1)". The record is from RNAcentral. Lineage: Eukaryota; Metazoa; Chordata; Mammalia; Artiodactyla; Suidae.
GGCGUCCUGCCAGCGGGGCGCCCCCGGCCUGAGACUCCCUGGAAGCCUCGUCCGCGAGUCGCGGACUCGGGGCCCGGAGGGCGGCGGGAGGUCCUGCGCUGCGGUGCGGCUAUAGCGCCCGCGCUCCCCGCGGAAGAACCGCCGAGUCGAGCGCUGAAGGUGUGGCCCACCAGCAGGAGUGUCAGAACGUGCCGAGCCGCUCGAGUCGGAGUCGCCAGAACCCCCGGAAGACGAGCCGUUCACCGGCAGGCCAACUGGGGCUUCUUCGUGUAGUGGACUGACAGCCAAGCGUCGGGAACGCAGUGUCGUGGGUGUGCGGCUGACCGGGUGAGGAGGAUCUUUCACAGAGACCGUGCCCCUCCGUGGAGUCCAGGAACAGGGCCUCAAACCUGCGUCCUCAUGGAUACUAGUCAAAUUUGUUUCCCCUGAGCCAGGACAGGAACUCCCUUCAAGGAUAUUUGUUUGUUUGAUUCUUUCUGCUUUUUUGUUUUUUCUAGGGCCACACCCACAGCGUGUGGAGGUUCGCAAGCUAGGGGUCCAGUCGGAGCUGUCGCCGCCAGCCUAUACCACAGCCACAGCCACGCAGGAUCUGAGCUGCAUCUGCACCCUACACCACAGCUCGCAGCAACACUGGAUCCCCAACCCACUGAACCAGGCCAGGGAUCGAAUUGCAACCUCAUGGUUCCUAGUCAGGUUCAUUAACCACUGAGCCAUGACAGGAACUCUGCUUCAAGGAUAUUUGGAAGCAUCUAUAUUUAUGGCCCAUCUCAGAAUGCAAAAGGUUUUUAAAAAUGUAAACCUCUUUGCCUUUUGGAGUGUAAAUAUUUGGGGGCUUAAGAGUCUGAUGCAUCUGUGUGCGACAGAGCUGGUCUCAGCAGGCACCUCACUGGGCUCUCAUGAGGGGAUUUCUUUCACGGAACCGUCUUUGGUAUGUAGCAGGUGUUCGUAGGUGUUAGUCAUUGCCGUUACUGUCUGUAUCACUGCCAUCAUCAAAGCCUGACAAGGCAAGGCUUCCAGGCCUCGCACUGCCAUGAAAGAGUUGGGCGGAGCAAGGCCUGUGCGUUGGGUCUCUGAGCCUCACUUCCUGAGUGGGCAACAUGAAAAUUGAUGCCCGCUUCAAGGGUUGCUGUGACCGUUACACCAGUGUGGAUGGGAAAGCAGUUGUUUCAAGAAGCAUCAAAGGUUAAUAACACCUGGAACGUUUUCCAGAAGAAAGUUAAAUACAGGAUGGCCUGAUGCGUUCCCCACAGGGUGUACUCUUUGCUUCCGUUUCAUUCGUGUUCAACAAGAUGCGCGUUCAGGCCAUGCUCCAUUUCUGCAGCAAAAAAGGCACUUUGCAGCUAUAUUCUUUGCACGUGAUGCUGAGUAGUAUUUCAGAGCCAGGCCUUAGAAACUUCAAGGCCUGGGAGUUCCUUCGUGGCUCUGGUUAACGAACCCGACUAGGAUCCGUGAGGACUCAGGUUUGAUCCCUGGCCUUGCUCAGUGGGUUAAGGAUCUGGCAUUGCUAUGAGCUGUGGUGUAGGUCACAGACAUGGCUUGGAUCCCAUCAUUUUGCUGUGGCUGUGGCAUAGGGUGGCAGCUGCAGCUCCAAUUUGACCCCUAUCUUGGGAACUUCCAUAUGCCUCUGGUAUGGCCCUAAAAAGACCAAAAAAAAAUUAGCAAAGGAGUUCCUGCUGCAGUGCAAUGAGAUUUAAGUGUCUGUAGCACCAGGACACAGGUUCAACUCCCUGCCCCUCAGAGAGGGCUAAAGGAUCCAGCAUUACCGAAGCUUCAGCGUAGGUCAGCUUCAGCUGUGUCUCAGAUCUGAUCCAUGGCCCGGGAGCUUCAUGCGCUGCAAAGUGGCCAAAAAAUUUAAAAAGGAAAAAGUUCUUGUCGUGUCUCAGCAGUAACAAACCUGAUUAGUCAUGAGGAUGUGGGUUCAAUCCCUGGCCCGGCUCAGUGGGUUAACAUUCUGCUGUUGCCAUGGGCUGUGGUGUAGGUUGCAUAUGUGGUUUGGAUUUGAUCUCUAGUCUGGGAACUUCCAUAGCCCUCCAAAAAAAAAAAAAAAAAA